This is a long non-coding RNA of Capsicum annuum, 675 nucleotides long. RefSeq lists it as uncharacterized. NCBI's taxonomy places the organism in Eukaryota, Viridiplantae, Streptophyta, Magnoliopsida, Solanales, Solanaceae. The transcript is spliced from 4 exons. The record is from RefSeq and is a predicted model, not a curated record.
UGUCCCCUCAAGAAGGGUUUCCUAAUUGUUGUUCUCUUUCUCCUCCUAUCCGCCUUCUUUGCCUUUGAACAUGGCUCCAUCCUUUCCUAAAAGCUCAGCUCCGAAUCCUUUUGUUGUGGGUGAUGAACUAUCUUCAUUAUGAUGAUGAUGUAGCAUUUCUUCUUAGCUUGCAGAAGUGUGUGGUUCGGUGGAAGUGUAAGAGAUUGGAAGAAGCUCCCAAUCGGGUUUGAACCUUGCAUCCUGACUUUGUAGUUCAUGGUGGCAACAUCUGAGUGGAUUACUAAUCCACGUAGGAGCAAUUGAGUUUCACACAGGAUAUGAAAUAUAUAAUUGAUGAGAUUCUACAACAUCCACUAAGGUUUGGUAGCUCGUGCAAUGUCAAGUUUAAAGAAAAUUUUGAAGAAUUUCUGUCAUAAGAAGUAAUUGAGAUGUUCGGUGAAAAUGAAGUUGUAAAGGCGGAAAAUGAAUAUUUAGUGACAAUGAAGAUUCUUCGAGAUCAAAACGCAACUUCAUACCACCAGAAAAUGAUUGUUAUUAGGUACAAAGUUAUUUCUAAUUUUGAGAUUUUAAUGAAUAACAUUUGUCGGUAUAAAAUGAUCUUUACAUGAAGCAUAUUAUCAGAUACGUUUAAUUAUUUUAUAUUAAGAUGAUAAUACAUUAAAAUUAUACAUUAAA